UACGGGGGGGGCAAGCGUUGUUCGGAAUUACUGGGCGUAAAGGGUUUGUAGGUGGCUCGCUAAGUCAGACGUGAAAUCCCUCAGCUUAACUGGGGGACUGCGUCUGAGACUGGCAAGCUUGAGUGCAGGAGAGGAACGCGGAAUUCCAGGUGUAGCGGUGAAAUGCGUAGAUAUCUGGAGGAACACCGGUGGCGAAGGCGGCGUUCUGGACUGUAACUGACACUGAGGAACGAAAGCCAGGGGAGCAAACGGG
This 253-nucleotide ribosomal RNA is filed under the name uncultured bacterium. RNAcentral describes it as "partial 16S ribosomal RNA". It matches the Rfam family "Bacterial small subunit ribosomal RNA", at positions 524 to 776 of the family's 1533-position model. The record is from RNAcentral.